GCAAUAAAUCUGUCCUUCUUUAGACUAGUUGUGCAUCUGGAGCAUCAGCAUUUGUGGGUUCGAUUACAGGCUCAAAAUGAACAGUGCAAACUGGCUUCAACCAGAAUAGAAAGAGGAGUGGGAGGCCCCAGUGCACAACUGAGCAAGAGCCAAAAAGUGCUCGAGUAGCCUGCCCCGCUCCAGUAUGGCACCCAGGUCCCCACAGCCCACCAACACAACUGACUUGAGAAGAUCCAACGACAUGCAGCCAAAAUCAUCCCGCUCCCCCAUCUACACCUCCUACGACUUUGCAUGCAGUGACUUGGGCUUGGAGUUCCUCCGCACCCACCUCUGCAGAUCCUUUGCCCAGAAGCUUGCAAAGUUCCAGGAUGACAACAAAUGGCUAUCUCAGACGAGAGGCCAUGUCAGUGGCAGAUCUGCCCGAUCCAGUUACAAACUGAACCUUCCCCCUACUCUGACUGACAGGUUCUACAACAGCCCUAUGCCAUAGUUUGUGAGACUGCUUAAUGCUGCUGAACUGUAAUAUUGUAUACUACAUCUCAUAUUUUUUGUUUACUUAAGUUGGGCUUAUGUACACUGCAAUUCAGCUUUUAGCUGCAAAUGUGAACAAA
Oncorhynchus tshawytscha (Chinook salmon) is the source of this 611-nucleotide long non-coding RNA. Lineage: Eukaryota; Metazoa; Chordata; Actinopteri; Salmoniformes; Salmonidae. The record is from Ensembl.